AUGAGAAGGCGGGCAACAAAACCCUAUGGCCCUUUAGCUGUGGAAAACUUCGACUGGGACAAGCAGUGGGUUGAUGCAUCAUCCCAGCCGCCUAAAAGCAGCUUGUGGUUCGUGGGAAUCCUAAUGACAUUACUUGGGAUGAUGUUGAUGUGGCCAGUGGCUCAUUUCAAGCUCAUCAAGGUCACAAUGUUCAUAGGAAUCUCAAAAAGACACGAGAGGACAGAUUGGUUGAAAGGUAGGAUGUGUGUUACAAUGGAGAAGAACAGCUGUGAAGAGGAUGGCUGCAAUGUGACAUUAACAACCAGCAAAAUCAACUUUAGUUGCUGGCUCAUUAUACGCGUCGCUCAAAAUGAAGAACUUCACAGCUUGUGGGUUCCGAUGCCAUCUCUGGAGCUCAUGGUCAUAGGGUAUGAUGGUCCCAUCCCUCCAUUGCCCCACUUGUUCAUUGGCAAGAAAAUAACAUUGCAAAAAAAAAGGAAGCUCAUGGGGACCAAGACUGCUACUUCAGCUGAUAUAGAUUUUGAUGGCAGCCUUGGGAAUGGCAAUUUCAACGAGACUGAUGAUUCUGCUGCAAGAAAAAGGGGUAGGCAUGGGGGAUCUUCUCUUGAUGGGAAAAAGCACAAGCGCUUGAAGUAUCCUAAUAUUGAUGCAAAUCCCAUGAAUUUGACCAAAGAUGUAAGAGGAAAUGUUUACCACAACAUGGUGAUGUCUCGUCCUGAAUGCACUGAAACUAAUGAAAAGCCACCAAUUUUGCAAAGAAACAGCACUGAGAAAUCAUCUCCAAAAAAGGUGCUUCAGAGAGAGCAUUCUGAUUGGGUGAACUUCGUGAGUGUCCUUGGGAAAAUGACAACAGGAGCACAAGGAAACAAUUUGAAAGAAAUGGUUGCUCUAUCUGCUUCCCAUGAUCAGAGGAAACCAUCCCCGCAAGAAUUUAAUACUGGAGAAAAUGAGGAAAGAAGUAGGAAUAACUCUUUGAUAGAGACUGGGAAAGGUGGGAAGAGAAGAGACAGUUCUUCGGAACAAGACAAUCUAUUCUUUAAAAAGUACGAUAAAGCUAAGCCAGAGCUGAAAGGUCCAAUAGAAGAUUUCUCACAGUCUUUAGCCACUCCACGUUUAUCCUCCAAACAAAACUGCUACCUGUCCCGAACAGACGUUGUUCCUCGUGGCCGACCCCACGACUCCCUCCCCGUCCUCGCUAUGCCACAUCGCCUCCCUCCCCGCUGCCGCUACGACAUGGGGUUUGAUAUAUCGAGAUCAAGAGGAAGCGGCGUAUCCCCAUCGCUCCGGGAGGUCGACGACGGGCUCCUCCGGCAAGCACGGGGCGUUGAUGGUCUCUUUCGGGCAUGGUCGGAUCUGCGUGUCGGCAGCUGCAGGAAGGCAAGGAUCUGGCCGUGCUCCACGACCACCACAACCAAGGCAGGGAGCGCUGCUCCGACCUCCUCUCUUAUGGCUUCAAGUCUGACGAUGCCCACGACCAGGCGUGCUCCCCUCCAAGAAGCUGCAAUCACUGCUGAUGUACUUCCAUAUAGCAAUUGGGGAGAGGAUUUCCAGGUAGGGAUGCAAGCGGGCAUCCCGCAGAAGCAGUAA
Molecule: ribosomal RNA, 1587 nt
Filed under: Triticum aestivum (bread wheat)
Lineage: Eukaryota; Viridiplantae; Streptophyta; Magnoliopsida; Poales; Poaceae
Description: partial small subunit ribosomal RNA
Source: RNAcentral